AUGUGAAUUGCAGAAUUCAGUGAAUCAUCGAAUCUUUGAACGCACAUUGCGCCCUCUGGUAUUCCGGGGGGCAUGCCUGUUCGAGCGUCAUUACACCACUCAAGCUCAGCUUGGUAUUGGGCCAUCGCCCCCUGGGGCGGGCCUGAAAAUCAGUGGCAGUGCACGCCAGUGCUCAAGCGUAGGUAUGAAUUGUCAAACGCCGCUUUGGAGCUCACCGGCUGGGCCCGCCAGAUAACCCUUCUAUUUCAAUGGUUGACCUCGGAUCAGGUAGGGAUACCCGCUGAACUUAAGCAUAUCAAUAAGCGGAGGAAAAGAAACCAACAGGGAUUGCCUCAGUAACGGCGAGUGAAGCGGCAACAGCUCAAAUUUGAAAUCUGGCCUUCGGGCCCGAGUUGUAAUUUGCAGAGGGAGUUUCGGAGGCGACGCCGGCCUAAGUUCCUUGGAACAGGCCGUCAUAGAGGGUGAGAGUCCCGUCCGUGGCCGGCGGUCAAUUUCAUGUGAAACCCCUUCGACGAGUCGAGUUGUUUGGGAAUGCAGCUCAAAAUGGGUGGUAAAUCUCAUCUAAAGCUAACUACUGACCAAAGACCGAUAGCGCACAAGUAUAGUGAUCGAAAGAUGACUAGCACUUUGGGAAUGAAAGUUUUACCCUUUACUUUGAUAAAUGGUGAAUCGUGAAGACCCCAAGA
Molecule: ribosomal RNA, 686 nt
Filed under: uncultured Peltigeraceae
Lineage: Eukaryota; Fungi; Ascomycota; Lecanoromycetes; Lecanorales
Description: eukaryotic LSU rRNA
Rfam family: Eukaryotic large subunit ribosomal RNA (bases 254-686)
Source: RNAcentral